ACACCUUUCUCGGCCUUUUGGCUAAGAUCAAGUGUAGUAUCUGUUCUCGUCAGUUUAAUAUCUGAUACGCGGGCCAUGUGCUCGCCUCGAUAUUAAAUUCAUUUUUCUGUGGGGGAGGGCCUGCCCCACAGCAGCUUGCUGCUGGGGCCCUCACGCGUCACCCAGGCGUUGCACUACCGCGCGGGCCUGGCGCAUCCCUA
This 200-nucleotide small nuclear RNA is filed under the name Ananas comosus (pineapple). Its description in RNAcentral is "U2 spliceosomal RNA". It matches the Rfam family "U2 spliceosomal RNA". Rfam says of the family: U2 is a small nuclear RNA (snRNA) component of the spliceosome (involved in pre-mRNA splicing). Complementary binding between U2 snRNA (in an area lying towards the 5' end but 3' to hairpin I) and the branchpoint sequence (BPS) of the intron results the bulging out of an unpaired adenosine, on the BPS, which initiates a nucleophilic attack at the intronic 5' splice site, thus starting the first of two transesterification reactions that mediate splicing. The record is from Rfam by way of RNAcentral. Lineage: Eukaryota; Viridiplantae; Streptophyta; Magnoliopsida; Poales; Bromeliaceae.